GAAUUUUUGUUGGUUCUUCAAUCCAAAGUUUGACAUUGAGUAAAAUAAAGACACUACCAGAACAAAGUUAUUAUAAAAAUGAAAAAUUGAUUUGAGAGAGAUUACCCCAACUCAAUACAUCUUUUACGGGUGUGGUAGACUUGGGUAGUUGUGUUUUAAUCAAAGGUUUACAACUUUUUUUCAAAAAAUUAUACGAGGUGAGUUUCCCUUUUUUCUACAAGAAAUUACAGGAGAAGAGUUUGUAGUUUUCUCCAUAGUAAUAGUAGGUUGACACGCCUACGUGUUACCUACACUCAUUUGACACGGUCCAGGUAAGUUUUUUGAAAAAAAAAAUUGUUCAGUAGACGUGGGUAAAAGGGGAAAAAGAAAAAUAUGGCUUUCGGUCUUCUUUUGCUCCUCUUUCAAAAAUCACAUUUAGGUUUUCUUUCUUUCAAGACGCAUUGUUCUUCAUCAUUCUUCGUCGGUGCUCUUCUUCAUCGUCUUUCAUUGGCACCCUUGAGCUGCUUCAAUCGGUGGUGUGUUUGAGUUAGGCUUCUAAUCGCUGCAUUCUCUGUUUUUACAAGCUGAUUUUCUUUGGAAGGUAAUAACAGAGAAAUAAUUUUAUUUAAUCUUUGGUCUUUGAGUGAGAAACUGCAUUACCUUGAGUCCUUGGUACCUUCCAAGCAUGAGAAUGGUGGCCAAUGGGUUUGUGCCAGGUGACAAAGUAAGAUGUAAAAAUGUAUAGUGGUUGAACUUGAGAUGACAAAGUCUCUUCUCUCAAGUCAUUAGACACACCUACAAAAACAAUCAUUUCUUAGAAUAUAAAAGUCAGGUAUUUUGAUUGUUCAAAAUCAUUAUUCUAUACACUGAUGUCUAUCUUUGGUCCAUAGAAUGCUUCAUCCCCUUCAUUCAACUACAAGGUUUUACACAAAUAUAAGCACAAAGAUAGUAAAGCUUACAAAUGUCAUAUUCCACAGAAAAUAAUAAAACAUUAUGAAAAUAAAAAAUGGAGUGUGUAGGUGUGAGUGAAAAACCUUCACCCAUAUCAACAUAAAGAUGAAGAGAACAAAUGGGUGUUGUCAUAAACAAAAUGAAACUGCCAACAUAAGCAAAUUAGAUGAUAUAAUGCAAAAAGGAAUCAAGGGCGGACUGGAGGAAUGAGCCUGUAGUAGAGCAUUUCGUGUUUUCAAAACUAAAUCAAAAACAAAACUCUCUGUCUCACGCCCUUGCCCCUUUACUCUAGGGUUUUCGAAAAUGAACAAAAAAGAAAACGAAAGAUAGAGAAAUGAUGAGAAAAGAAGAAAUGAAUUGAAAGGGGACAAACCUCAUAUGCUUCGCACUUCGUCGGUUCGAACUCUUCUGAUCAUCGAUCACGUACAGCCUGUGGCAGCUGUACUUCUCUGUUUUUUUUUUCCUUUGUUGCUCUCUCUCUCAACCCCAAUCAGCUCUCACCGAAACACAUCGCAAAUGACAACUUUGCCCUUAAUGACAUUCAGAAUAAUUGGGUCCCACCCCGUGUCAAAUGAGUGUCGAGUGUCGUGUCAAAGAAUUGUUUUCCUUUUCUCCAUGAAAAAUUGCA
RNAcentral lists this long non-coding RNA (1558 nucleotides) under Vigna radiata. RNAcentral's name for it is "long non-coding RNA (VRAD_LNC010066)". The record is from RNAcentral. Lineage: Eukaryota; Viridiplantae; Streptophyta; Magnoliopsida; Fabales; Fabaceae.